Molecule: ribosomal RNA, 253 nt
Filed under: uncultured bacterium
Lineage: Bacteria
Description: partial 16S ribosomal RNA
Rfam family: Bacterial small subunit ribosomal RNA
Source: RNAcentral
UACGUAGGGCGCGAGCGUUGUCCGGAAUUAUUGGGCGUAAAGAGCUCGUAGGCGGCUUGUCGCGUCGGUUGUGAAAGCCCGGGGCUUAACUCCGGGUCUGCAGUCGAUACGGGCAGGCUAGAGUUCGGUAGGGGAGAUCGGAAUUCCUGGUGUAGCGGUGAAAUGCGCAGAUAUCAGGAGGAACACCGGUGGCGAAGGCGGAUCUCUGGGCCGAUACUGACGCUGAGGAGCGAAAGCGUGGGGAGCGAACAGG